Molecule: long non-coding RNA, 1147 nt
Filed under: Homo sapiens (human)
Lineage: Eukaryota; Metazoa; Chordata; Mammalia; Primates; Hominidae
Description: long intergenic non-protein coding RNA 2198
Source: RNAcentral
ACAUUUUGCAUGCAAAGAAAGCCAGAGUGGCUAGAUUACUCCCUUAGGGUAAUGGAGAAAGGAAAAAGAAAUUGAAAAAGGUCAGGUGAACAAAGCAGAAGGAAUGAAGAGGUUUGUGUGAUUCUUAGUGAAAUUGGACCAGUCUAAGCAACCAGACAGUGCAGUUCAGGAAACCAGGCUGAAGAAUGUGAAAUACAUCGCCCAAAGUCAGACACGGAGGAACAACUGCUUCGGAGCUAGCAAUUUCCUGAGCUGGAAUUGCACCACUGGCCUGUAGAAUCCAAACUGUUUUCUACCAGAACAACUCCUUCCCUGCAGGAAGCAGGGUGUGCACAGCUGAACCCUGGUCUGAGAAGGUUGAAGUCACUGACUCAGCCCCAGCAAGGAAGUUGCCCUUCGACUUCUGACCUCUGGCCCUGUUUGAAAACCAACUCAAAUCGUUUUUCUUUUUCAGAAGCUGCUUGCCUCCGCUUCACCUUCCACCAUGAUUGUAAGUUUCCUGAGGCCUCCCAGUCAUGCUUGCCGUUAAAACUGUGGAACUUGCUGCUGAUGGAGGAUGCUGUCAAUCCAGAGUCUGACAGCUUCUUGCUCCUAUGCUUUACAACGAAUGUAAAAGACAAGUCUCAGGAAAAGAUGUAAUUUUAUGGAAGAAAAAAGAUAGAAAAUAACAUUACCCAAAUGAAAACAGAUGAAGAUAAAGAUCAUUUCUUGAACAAUAUCUUCACAUCAUGGCUGGGCAAAGUGGAAAGAGACAGAAAACUGAAAAGUGACAACUUAAAAACUUUCUUUAAACAUAUCACUCUGACACCAAUGUGUAAGAUGAAGUGGACAGGAAUGGAACUGUACUGGGAGGCUCUGACAGUUCGGGUGAGAAGAAAUGAAGGGUCCUGUAAGCAGAUGAGCAGAUGAACAGAAGAGCAGAAGAGCAGCACAGCCGAGAAGGAAUGAAUGGCACAGCAGAGAAGGAGAGAAGAGAAGGAGCAUCUGAACGUUGAGAGUUCAACUAGAAAUGGUCAGAGAGGAGACUGAUCAUGGGAUAGCCAAACUCCAGGAGAAGAUUAUGUUCCCACUCCAUCCCCUUUCCAGAUCCCCAAUCCAUCCCUCUGAGAGCCACCUCUACCACUCGAUAAAACCCCUGCAUUUACCA